GAAUUAUACAGAAAACCAUGGCACUAUCUUGAUUGAAUCAUAUAGAUAUUGAAGCUAUGAGAAGGGGACACCAACUUAAUAUGGAACAAAGGGAAUACCUUGUAAGCCAUGUUACUGUCAAGGAGAUUGAGAGUGAUUUACAUGGUAUAGGCGAUUUAAAGUCCCCGAGAGCUAAUGCCUGUGGUUCUAAAUUCUUUAAAGCCUGCUGGUCUAUUAUAAAGGAAGAUGUUAUUGUUUCCAUCAAAGAUUUCUUUGAACACGAAAAUUUAUACUAGGCUUUUAACAUGACUGUGGUAACUUUGAGCCCAAAGAAAGGUUAUGCAAAACAUGUCAAAGAUUACAAGCCUAUAGUAGGGUGUAUAACAUUCUAUAAAAUAAUCUCAAAGAUUAUGACAAGUAAACUAGGCAAGGUUCUUACUAAUAUCAUUACCCUAAAUCAGGCUACCUUUAUGCCAAGACAAUUUAUACACUACCACAUUAUGCUUGCAUAUGAGUUUCUCCAAGGUUAUUCAAGGAAGGGUGGUACCCCAAGAUGCAUGAUGCAAUUAGAUCUCUAUAAAGCAUGUGAUAUGGUGGAUUGACUUGUUAUGGAAAGGGUGCUUCAAGAAAUUGGUAUUCCUAGCAUUUAAGUGAACAUUAAUGGGUGUAAAUUUAUUAGUUGAGUAAAUUAAUUUGGGUGCAUUCGAUUUCGUAAUCAAGGUUGCAAUUUUCGACGGCUUUUUCUGUUUCUCCAUCUUCGGUAAUCGUUUUCCUCUACUCCUCCAGUUAGGGUUUCGAUUAACGAAGCGACGAAUUUUUUUCCUGGAUUCUCCACAUUUAAGUGAACAAUUGUUAUUUGAAAUUGUGAAAUUGUUCUGUUGUCUCGGAUCUGCCUCUUUCGAUUUGGGAUUUUUUUGGAUUAAUUUACUUCAGCAAGGUUGCAAUUUGAAUCAAUAAUUUUUGCGCCCUAGAUUUCUGAAAAAAUUCCGUUUAGUUUGCGGUGAUUUAAUGUCGAACCUGUUGUUUUUUUUGCUCUGGUGCAUAUUGUUAGGCUGUUUGUUUCUUUGUUGCUGAGAGUUUAUUGAAUUUAAUGGCUGAUUUCAGGUUAAGGAAGGUGUUCACUCAUUUAAAUUUUAGAUACAAUGUCGUCAAAUUCGAUGAAAUGUCCUCGUCGCAAGGUGUUCGAUGAAAUGUCCCAACCGGAUUCUUUCUUUUUUUUUGCUUCAGUUUUGAUUUUCUUAUGUUUGCUUCAGUAUAAUUUUCUUAUGUUUGAUAAAUUUGGUCGGAUUAUUUUGGUGUUUGAUAAUGAUCCAUCUUCUCACAGAAACAAUGUUUUUUAUUUACUGCUUUUAAGUUUACUCCAUUUUGUAUGAUUUGUUGGGUUCUGAAGUUUUGAAUCGGUUCUUAAUCACAUUAUUGAAGCCAUAAAUGACGUUCUAAAGGUAAACGGGAUUAAGUUUCAUAGCAAUUUCACACUUUUUAAGGUUGACAAUUGUUGGAGCAUCUUAAUGUUUUGCUUGAGUUAUUUCCCUGUCAUUUUGCUGGAAUUCCUUUUCUAAUUACUAGUCUUUGGGAUGGAUUUUAAUCUAUUAUAAGAGAUUUGGUGUUGGUAGGGUGCCUUUUGUUCCUGUUUUCGGUCUAUACAUAAGCAUUUGUAUGAUUUGCAAAUUUUAAUGAUUUUAUUAAAUAUAUAUUCACAACCGAGUCGCAUAAAUAAUCCUGAAAUUUAUUCUUGUUUCUAUACAGGCUAUGCAUCCCAGAUUCACUGGACAAACUUCUAAUUGAUUCAACUCCAGCAUCCAGUUAGCGAGAAAUAUGUACGUAAAACCAAUUGGAUCAGCUACUGGAGCAUUUUCAAGUAGUGUGAUAUUCCCACUUAAUGUUGCUUCUAAGCAUAUGCAAGCUGGUGCUCUAAUGGAAAAUGACACAAUAACAUGAUUCAAUAUGUGGUAAAUUCUUGAAUGGAGUGAUGGGCUAUGGCUUAUUAGUAGUAAAUGUCUUACAAGAAACACUGUUUGAUUGGUGACUAUUAUGAUUUUAAUGGUUACUAGUCUUUAUGCCUUCAGGUUGGAACUCUUAGGGAGCUAGUCUUUCAACAGGUUUGACAUAUGAGAAGUUCUACUCCUUGAUCAGUUUUGUAGAUGCUAGAGUUUCUAAUGCAACAACUGCCUCUAAAUUUUGUGUUAUGUGUGUAUUCUUUAUUUUACAAUGAGUAUUAUUACAUCAUUGUAUAUAUGUCUAUGAUUUAUGGCAGUGAAAUGUGUAAGGUUGGAAGUCUUGAUCCAAACAAGCUUAAAGGAAAAACCUUGUGCUGCCUCCUAGAAGAGCUAAAUGGAUUAGUUUACACAGAGGAAGAAGUUGUUUAUGGUGGUUCAAUAGGACUAAUUUUGGGAAAUUAUGCGCAUUUGUUUACAACUUGACAUGUCAAUUACACAACGGUUGAAUUUCAAAGGGUUUUUCAGAGCUUCCAAAACAUACGUGUACAGAUGGUGUGAUCUUCUGAUACUUAUUCCGCUUCAGAUGAACAGAAUUGAAAUGGAAUUUCCUAUUAUCUUGAUACCGCCUUUAUCAGCGUCUCCGGCACUUGGAGACUCCACUGAGUUACCGGUAACCGCUCCUGCGAUUGCUGCUUUCCAUUCCUGUCGGCCACCAGGUACUUCUUCUUUUUGUAACUUUCUCUGCUUUGUGUUGGUUUGAAGUUUUCGAUUUCCCCAAUAUUUUUUUCAUAUCACAGUAUAGUUAAUGCUUUAAGAACUUAAAUUUUAUCUAUGGAAUCUUCUUCUAUUUCUUCUGGUUUAUCUGUUUGUGUUUUUCUGUAAUGAUUUGGCUAACAAUGUUUAAUUGUUGGUGUUGAGGUUAAUAUUCCUAAAAAAUCCUAUUCAACUCAACUAGUAUUUAUGGAUAUUUAUGGAUGAAAAUCAAAGUGCCACCCCAGCUCAAAAUGGAGGGUAUCUUACAUCAAAUAUAUUUACAUUAACUAUUUCAGAGAUUAAUGGAGGUUCAAAUUUAUCAAUUAAAAUGCAUUGGUCUCAGAAAAUAGAAUGCUCCAUUGAUGAGUACUCUUUGAAUGUGCCAUUCACUUUUCCAGAUUUUGUCAAUUGUACAUAAACACGCUCAGGAAAGGUCGUGCUGCCGCUGAAAACCGCGGUGAUGUUAACGAUUAAGUAUGGGAUUGGAAUCGGUGGCAUCGGCAUUUCGAUGAGGUUGAUGACUUGCUACAUUCCUGUGAUUUCAUUUUGUUUUUUGUACUUAUUGUGAAUCAAUCGAUGUUAAUUAAUGUUGGAUGUUGUGGUAGUUUUAAUGUUUUUUGUGCUUAUCGUGAAUCAUGAAAGAUUUGAAUUAUCUCUGACUAAUGAGGAAUUGUCAUGUGUAACAAUUCCUACGCAAAAUCCCAAACUUACAGUUCUUAGUA
Molecule: long non-coding RNA, 3391 nt
Organism: Vicia villosa (hairy vetch)
Lineage: Eukaryota; Viridiplantae; Streptophyta; Magnoliopsida; Fabales; Fabaceae
Exons: 5
Source: RefSeq, a predicted model, not a curated record